UCAAUCAAUCAAUUUUAUUUAUAAAGCCCAAUAUCACAAAUCACAAUUUGCCUCACAGGGCUUUACAGCAUACGACAUCCCUCUGUCCUUAUGACCCUCUAUGUCAUAAUUACAAUUAUGUAGGAAGCAUUUUUACACCAAAAUGCCGUAGUUACUGUCUUUUAAACACAGUAAAUGGUCACAAAUAGAGCUAUUUUGUUGAUUCUACUAGACCUUUAUAUACAGAGUGAAACAUAGACAUGUAGACUCAUGUGCUUUCUUAUUUUCUUUCAGGGUCAAACAAAGUUGGAGCAUUUUCCAGCAUGCAUAGAAGAUAGCAGAAGAAACAUCUUAUAUAAGUCAGUAUCUCAGGAACACCACAGGUAGACACACAAACACUCACAUUCAUUCUGUAUCGAUGGUACAAUGUAAAUUGUUUCAAUAUACUUGACCUUCAUGUGAAGAGGCCUUUAUUAGAACGACAAAGAAUCACAUGCUUUUGGUUCUGAGGUAAUAAAGUACCGAUCCUUGUGACAUGUAUGGAGUAUAUAGUAGCAGGAGUGGAAGUAUAGAUUUACAUUUACCCUCGAUCACUGUUGGGUUUCUGUAAUACCACUACUUUUGGUGGUACCUAGACACAGUUACAAUUAUUGAAACUUUAAAGAGCUUGUUGUUACAUGUGUGUUUAUCAUAGCAGACAAACACAGCCUAUUCCAUGGAUUUUCUUCAAAGGUUAUGAUCUACCAUUAGAAUGUCACUGCACACAAUGACCGACAGUUCAGAUGAUUCGAGCUUGCUUUCCUGGAAAUAUGGAUAUUAUUUUUACCUCCUGCACAUCAAGGGCAAAAAUAUGUGGUGAACUGUAGUCUAAGUGCAGGAUUUCAAAUAUUGUCAGGGUUAAAGGAUAAUCCUCAGUGUGUUUAUGGUUUUGUAAAUAACUUGUAUCGCUUUUGUUUCAUUAGUUUUAUUGUGAUAAGAAAUUACUGACAAAUUUCUGAGAAAUAGCUGUUGUUUCAUUUUACCCUGCCAAGAAUAUUAAAAACUGAUUUGUGUUGCUCGAUUUGAAGGCCUGUCCAGGCUACAACAAAUAGGCCUGUUAAAACAUAUCUGUUGUGUUUUUAUUGUUCUGCUGCUUGCUUUUAAUUAUGAUGGGUGCAAUCAUUCAUAAAAUUUCACACUGUGUGCCACAGAAACACUAAAAUAAUAGAGGUAUGUUGUAUUAAUAAGAGAAUUGGAGCAGAUAUAUAAAAGUGACACAAAAGUAACUUUCCCUGCUAGCAAAUUACUUUUAUAUAUAGUAACUGGUAAAGUCUUUCAAUUACUUUUACUGUAAUAACCAAUUUUCAGUGACUUGCACAGCAUCACUACUAAAGGCACGCCAACAGUGCUUUAGGGGGCACCAAAACAGCCCAGUAUGAUCACCAUCAUCACAAUUAUAGGUAUUGCAUUGUGCAUUGUUGAAUUGCAUGGUGUCUGUGAAUAUACAGUCAGUUUCCUCAGCUAUAUGAAGUUGUUUCUUAAAUUCUAAACUUAAGUUUAUUAAAACAUGCUUGUGUUCAACAAUGGGAAAAGAACAGCUGGUGGUCUUUCUGUCAUCAGCAUCCAUGCAGAACUCACUCAGAAGCUGUCAUGCAGUCUAAUGACCUCAUUACUGCAGAUGUUUGCCUCUGUAGAGCCUCCUGCCGGUUCUAUAGCCUAGUUCUAGAAGAAUGUACUGUCUCUGCAGAAUCUUAAAGUUUUGUGACUUUUCUUCUGUUCUGUGUGACUAACGGGACAGUUGUGUUUUUGUUAUUAUUUAUUUGAACAAUAAUGGUAUUGAUAUCAUAUUGUAUCAUAUGAUUGAUUGUUUUUUGUUUGUUUUGAUUUUGUUUUUGCUUUUUAAUUUUUUAUUUUUUUUCCCCAUGGAGGGGAGGGGGACCAACUGUGCACCCAGAUGUCCAGCAGCGUCCCUGGACUUGCACAACACUGCUCUCCUUGUCGUUUCUUUGUGUAGCCUUUCUGUACUAUUUGAGUAUUUACUUAUAUAGGCCCACUUUUAACACGUGUACACUUUGCUACACUUCAAGUCGCCUAAUAACAAAAGUCACCUGAGUUAGUCCUAAACUGUGUAAGAAAUUAACCAAAGAAAGGAGAUCAAUCAGCAGCUGCAGGUGUGUUUGCAGCCGCAGGAGGGCAGAGCUCCACGCAGGUGACAGUCUGCAGUCAGCUGACAGUACGGAGGAGUUACCUGUUGGAAAGGCGUAGCCUACGCUCACCUGCCGAGUGUCAGAGCAUGGGACAGGAUGCGGAACGACGGCUGCUAGCAGCAGUGGUCAUGGUUAGCUUUAUUACACCUAGGCGUAGUUUUAAAAAGUUGCAUCUACCGUAAUCAAUUACUCACAUAACCAUCCACCUGGCGAGCACGCGAAGUGACCCACUCCACACCUGCGCUGUUGGCGUGACGCAGGUGUGGAGUUGAUUCAGGCUAACACGCUAUGACGCUAUAACGGGAUUUACCUUCAGUAAUUCGUGACAGGACUUUCUACUGUUUUUGACCAUUCAGCUCAACAUGCUGGAAAACUUUGAGGAGAACUUCGCGGUGCACGAGGCUCACACAGUGACGUUCACGACGACAGGAGCAACAAAGGGAGAAGAAAAAAAAGCUGCGGGAAGGCAAGAGAAGUGGGGUGAAAGAUUUAAGAAGGCAGCGCUGAAGAGAAACAGAGGGGACAGCGGGGGAGAAAGACACGGGAAGACGGAGGACGGACACCUGAUGCUAUAGGGUACAUGCAGUCUACGAUCUCUUGGAUCUGCGACAGCUCCAGGUUCUUCAUGAAGUCAUUGUCCAAGAUGGCCUCCUUGAUCAGAUCCUUGGACCUGGAGACGAGUUGCAGAACUACAACGACAACCUACAGUCUAUGGCGACAACGCAUAUCUACACAAGCGAGAUCAGAUGUCGGAGCACAGGAGGAGCACAUGAACGCAGCAGUGGUAACAACUACGAAGAAAAUGCAGCGUUGGAAGAGCACGAGCCAACCCACUCACUCAUCUGAAGCCAUCUAUUGGUGAAAGUCUGAGCAACCCAAAUAUUUUAAAACUGACACUCAUUUUUUAAUGUAAACUAUUCUUUGAUUUUUUUUUUCUUUUUGGUGGGACAGUGCAAAUGAAUAAAUACAUAUGGUACUGAAAUGCCUGAAUUAGCCAAAAGGCUUUAUUUCAUGUGUAGUACCUUGGCCAAGAUGUCACACAAGGCUACCUAAAUUACAACAAAGCACCAAAAAUAGAAUAAAUAAAAUGAUAGCUUAACUAUAUGGCAAAAACUGCCUCUUAUGGAUCUAUGUUGACUAGGAUGACUAACCAUGCUCAAGGGCCCAUCUAUUUAUUCGUUUUCUAUAUAUGCAUUAUUAUCACUUUUAUUUAUUCAAAUUUGAUUUUAUUAUUUUGAUUGUAUUUUGGCGGUGUACCGGUACCCUCUUGUACGGAUCUCUGCUACCCUGUUGGUAUUAUUUUUGUUAGUAGAGACUGAAGGUCUCAU
Long non-coding RNA from Epinephelus moara (kelp grouper), 3493 nucleotides. RefSeq lists it as uncharacterized. The transcript has 4 exons. Lineage: Eukaryota; Metazoa; Chordata; Actinopteri; Perciformes; Serranidae. The record is from RefSeq and is a predicted model, not a curated record.